Molecule: ribosomal RNA, 471 nt
Filed under: uncultured organism
Description: partial 16S ribosomal RNA
Rfam family: Bacterial small subunit ribosomal RNA
Source: RNAcentral
ACUCCUGCGGGAGGCAGCAGUGGGGAAUUUUGGACAAUGGGCGAAAGCCUGAUCCAGCAAUGCCGCGUGUGUGAAGAAGGCCUUCGGGUUGUAAAGCACUUUUGUCCGGAAAGAAAUCCUUGGCUCUAAUACAGUCGGGGGAUGACGGUACCGGAAGAAUAAGCACCGGCUAACUACGUGCCAGCAGCCGCGGUAAUACGUAGGGUGCGAGCGUUAAUCGGAAUUACUGGGCGUAAAGCGUGCGCAGGCGGUUUGCUAAGACCGAUGUGAAAUCCCCGGGCUCAACCUGGGAACUGCAUUGGUGACUGGCAGGCUAGAGUAUGGCAGAGGGGGGUAGAAUUCCACGUGUAGCAGUGAAAUGCGUAGAGAUGUGGAGGAAUACCGAUGGCGAAGGCAGCCCCCUGGGCCAAUACUGACGCUCAUGCACGAAAGCGUGGGGAGCAAACAGGAUUAGAAACCCUGGUAGUCCCA